Colossoma macropomum (tambaqui) is the source of this 1353-nucleotide long non-coding RNA. RefSeq lists it as uncharacterized. The transcript is spliced from 2 exons. Lineage: Eukaryota; Metazoa; Chordata; Actinopteri; Characiformes; Serrasalmidae. The record is from RefSeq and is a predicted model, not a curated record.
CAAUGAGCGUAGAAACAAGGAGGUGGUCAUGUCAUGCCUGAUCGGUGUAUAUCAUGAGAGGUUUUUAUAAGUAAGUAAGCCCAACAAAAAAUGGAGAAAAAAUAACAAUGCUUACUUUGAAUUAAUUUCUUUGAGGUAUCGUCUGUAAAUUGGACUUCGUACAGCUGUAGUUUCACAACACACCUCUGCACUCCAGCCUCCCACAGUUUGCAUCCCACACUUGCAUUGUUUUUCUUUUUUUGCCAUUGCUUUUGUAUUGUUCAGUUGACUCAUGGUCAAAAUGAAACCAGAACCCAUGCCAUGUCAAUGAUUGGUGUGCUGUCAUUUCCAGGUCUACACCAGGAGCUGUUAGCUGCCCUGUGUGCAUGGAUGCUUAUGCAGAGAUCAUCGAGAGUGGCCGACUCAUGGUGUCCACCAAAUGUGGCCACCUCUUCUGCAGUCAGUGCAUCCGCGACUCCCUGGCCCGAGCUCACUCGUGUCCCACCUGCAGAAAGAAACUCACUCACAGGCAAUAUCACCCUAUUUACAUCUGACAUGUCGAGGGAAGAUGUACUUUAACUGACCUAUGUGAUCUGACCAGCGCACUUUCAGAACCCGUUUGUAUGUCUCUGCCAAACUGCUUAUUUAAAGGCUCUUGUGAAGCAUCACCUGGACCUUGUAGUUUCAUUGACUGUAUUAGUGGUUUAAUAGCUCAAUGCCAACAAAAAAAAAAUCCACCUUUUCAAGAAGAAUAAGACUCCAGGAGCAAAAGGAGGCCAUGUCCUUGCUGAAGGAUUGUUUUUCACACAGUCCAUAUUUAAGCUGCACUUACAUUUAGGCAUUUGGUUAUUCUGUUUAGAAAUGGGUUCCUAAUACGCUAUCAAGAAUUUUCUUCAGGAAUCAAGAGACUAUACUGAAUUAGUUUUGGGAGGAAAGCAGGAUACUGCUGAGUCUGCCCAUGUCAGUUUACUACUCAUGUCUAGCUGUCACAUUUAGGGCUGGUUUUCCAGACAUGGAUUAGCCAUGGUCUCGGGCUCAGAUGCAGUGUCAGUGGUGAAUCACUAUUGAAAAUUCUUGCUUAGGCUUAAUCUAAGUCUGGGAAACUGGCCCAAAAGGGUUUAAAAUUGGCCAUAGAUUGUGUGGUUUGGGGCUACAUUCCUUUUUAGCUGUCUGAAAAAAACAAUUGUGAGCUUUGUUAUCCGCUUUUGUAAUUGCAAAAUGUAAUAAAUGCGGGUGCAGUUUGGUUUGUUCUUCCCUUUAUCCAUUAAUUGUAAAUAUGUGUAUGUAUUUAAUGUACAAAGGUUGAGUAAGUUAAGGUCUGUUCCAGUAUAAUGGUAAACUGAGCUUGUUUCAAUAAAAUUAUGCUAUGCUUAG